GACAGAGGCCUCGAGCGUUAGGCGGAAUCACUGGGCUUAAAGCGUGUGUAGGCGGGCCCGUAAGUGUCUUGUGAAAUCCCACGGCUCAACCGUGGAACUGCUGGGCAUACUGCGGGUCUUGGACCAACUAGGGGCAGCCGGAACAAGCGGUGGAGCGGUGAAAUGCGUAGAUAUCGCUUGGAACGCCGAAGGUGAAAACAGGCUGCUGGGGUUGCGCCGACGCUGAGACACGAAAGCCAGGGGAGCAAACGGG
This 253-nucleotide ribosomal RNA is filed under the name uncultured bacterium. RNAcentral describes it as "partial 16S ribosomal RNA". It matches the Rfam family "Bacterial small subunit ribosomal RNA", at positions 524 to 776 of the family's 1533-position model. The record is from RNAcentral.